Dromaius novaehollandiae (emu) is the source of this 8627-nucleotide long non-coding RNA. RefSeq lists it as uncharacterized. The record is from RefSeq and is a predicted model, not a curated record. The transcript has 5 exons. NCBI's taxonomy places the organism in Eukaryota, Metazoa, Chordata, Aves, Casuariiformes, Dromaiidae.
CAAGAGCGGGACAGUAAAACAAACGUGUGCGUGCUGCGGGGGAGGGAUGAGGCAACCUCGGGCCAGGAGUGGGGCCGAUCCGAUAGCUAGUUAAGCAGCACUCUCGUUUGCAGCAUUUCUCCCGUGAAGUGACAGAAUUCGGUCCCGUUGCCUGCGCAGCGAGCACGGCCGGAGAUUACACCUUUAGUUUCACUUUAACGGAGCUCCCUUUACAAUCGAUAUUUAUACUUACCCACCGCCCGCUCCCUCUCGGAGAUAAGCUUCUUUCACCUCACAGAGUGAAAACCUCCGUGCUUUCCACGAGACGCACUGCACAACUUUAUUUGCAUCCCUCCCCUCGGAGAUCAUACAGAUGUAAUUAUAUCACCAGCGCAGCGGCCACGGCGCUAGCCCCGCUCCGCAGCCCACCCCGAGCCAGGAAGCAGUCUAGACGGCGCGGCACACGUCUGGGAAGAGCGCGGACCGGACUCGCCGCGAUGGAUAAGCAGAAACAUAGAGAUACCGAGCGGCUUGCCCUAGAGGUUAAACACCAAGCCUGAAACCCAGCCCGGGAAUGUCGACCCAAGAGCUGGUGGCUCUGCUUCGUUAAAGGCUUCCGGGAAAUUAGACCCUUUUAGCUGAAAAGAAUGGAUACCCUGCACUACCUAUGAAGAGGGCCCGAUCUGCCCUCCCGAGGUCCGCGUUGCUGCGGUUAGCUGCCGAGGCAGCUUGCGUUGCAGGGUGGUGUGUGCCACGCUGGCGCGAGGCGUCGCAGCGGUGAGCGGUGGCGAGCUGGGUGCAUCAUCGUGGCCGCGCUCUGCGGGGAACCAAACCCAGGUUUGGUGAGGUGGCUUUACAGCCUGGGGGUGUCUGCAUUUCCCUUGCGUGGGUUGGAAGCUUCCUCAAAGAAUCGGAGUCCAAAACCGCCUUUGACUUUGGUGGAACCCAACAUAUCUUCCGUUUUCCUGUAACACCGCAGCGAUUGAAUGCCCAGCAAAUAGAGCUGAGAUCAUUUUUGAUUACAUACAUCUUCGAUUAUAUAUAUUUUUGGUUAAGUGUUAUUUGUCAUUUGAUUAAAUGUUGUUGAAGUCAAAACAGUCUACCGAAAGAUACUGAUUUCAAUAACUUUUUCAAUAAACAGUUUUGUGAAGUCACUUGCAAGCACAAGAAAGAGAGCUGGGGAGGAUUAAAAUAGGUAUUUUUGAUCCAGAUACAGCAUUCUUACACAAACCAGGUCUGCAAAAACACUUCGAAAGUUUUUGUGCCACUUCCAGUGAGGAAUGAUGCAUAUUUUCAGACCUCAGAAGUUGUCACAGAAUGGAGCUGGUGUCCUGUAGCCACUGAUAUUGUCAGGUCUGCCGGGUUUAUGCGCUCGUACUGUGCUUGGGGGAACGUAUGAGAUACGGACUCCCUACUGACUUCCUUCUUCCCGUUCCUUCUUUUCUUCCAGAGUUUUUUCUUUCCUCCCAUAGAUAGAUCUCCUCUGCCCAGGCCUGUUUAACUGCCUUAUGUUUACAGUCUUUCCAUGUGUGCAGCUUGACAAAAGCCAUAUGGCAACUAUCACGCUGACAAAUUCAGCUAACAGUUGGUUUUUGGAAGAAAAUAUUCAACUUUCCUCUCACGAAUGUAGAUUUUUAGAGCUCUGAAGGAAGUAAUUUUGUUUUUUGAAGGUGGUCAAUUAGGAUUUUUAUAUCAGAGCUUCAGUAUACCUGUUUCAGGUACAAUGUAGCAGCCCACGUUUACCCCUGCAAAAAAUCUGAGUUCCCUUUCCGUAGCAUUACGUAGAGAUGCGUGUGAGCAACUUAAUGAGUUGUGUACUCUGACUAAAACAGAGGUGCUUUAUUUAAUUCUGUCAGAAUCAAUCUAACAUAUGCUUGUCCUUGUUAACAGUCUAGUAACUUAUAAAGAAGUCUUGCACCUCACAGAUGAUCUUUUUAAAGUGCUAAAAUUCAGAAAAAGCUAAACCGCAAAUUAUGUGCAUACUUGCAUUCAGAUGUCUUUGCUAGAUUAUAUCAAAGUAAUAAUUUGGUUCCAUCAUUUUCACAAUGGAAGCUAUUAUAUGGGUAAUGCGCGUUGCGCAUUGCCCUGGAGCACAGCUGGUUUGAAUUGUGGGGAUAUCUCUGAAAUCUCAUCUAGGCCAGUGAUUCCCCAGCAAGCCCCCCACUGCAUAUGAAUGCUACUUCAGCUCCCAUAAACACGGAGUGAUAAGUAGGGAGGUUUUAUCUCCCCCGGGAUUGAAACAAUGCUUGCUUUUAGAUAAGCACUGUUUGACACAUGCUCCUGGCAUUUGGACAUGUAGCUGCGGAGAACACCGCAUUUUAGACGCGGUGGGGGCCGUGCUGAACUUGCUGCUGCGAGUGCUGGGUAGUGCUGGGUUCCUCCUGGAAACUGGUAACGUACCUAAUGGACGGGGACGUUCACCCCAUGUCUGUGGGACAGUCAAGGCAAGAGUUCUACGACUGAUUUUCACUGAGGAAAAGCCAGUGUUAAUCUGUUCAGCUUUGUGCAGGAAUAUGGCGAAAUACCACAGCUGGGAUUUUGAAGCUGGGGUCUACCUCCCUUUAGUCUUUUUAAAAUCUUAGCCCUUUUCUAGCAUUUAGUUAACUUCGUCUCCUUUCUUGAAAAAAGAAAAGUAAGCCUUAUAAACAAAAUUAAGGACUGUUCCCAUGUUCCUUAUGACUGCAAGAAACUGCUGUGUGAAACCCAACUUCUGUGAAGUGCUGCACGUGUGCAGGCAGGGAAGAGCUGGAGAAGCAGGUUUUCAAAAUUCGUGGCUCUUUAGACUUACUGCUUAAACAUAAGUGCUGCAGUUACUCUCAAGUUAUCGGUUGCAUUAAUGGAAAAUGUGGGCAGCCCCUUAUGCGCAAAAGAAAAAGUCGUAUUUCUGAAGCCUUGAUUUAGUGCUGCUGAGAUUCUGCUUUCAUUAUGAAUGUAGUACUUUUAAGAAACCUAGUUCAAUUACGGACCAAUUAGAGCUAAGGCAGUCUCCCCCGCUUUGGAUCAACGUUUGCACUGUGGGUUUAGGAAGCACAGAAGUGUGCCAAGGCAGCCCUCAGUGUGUUGGCCUGCUAUUGCAUUCCUUGUACCAUGCAAUCAGGCACUACAAAAGCUUACUCCCAAAUGGGGUGCCUGCUUAAAAUGUCUCCUGGGAAGAAUUGCUCUGUGCAGAACAGCUGGAGAAUCAGGCAUACCCUGCUAAUGGCUGUGACAGCUUUAAUGUGUGACAUUGUAAAGUGCUAUUUCUUUUAUUUUCAUGUGGGUUAAAUAAAUUAAACUAAAUGAGAUUUUUGGCCAAAGCACCCAAAACUACCACUUGGAAAGGUGUGCUGACAAAGAAACGAUCUCAAAAUUGGUUUCGGUGUUAAACAUCCGUGCACUGCCAUCCAGUGGGCACUGGAGAAUUUGCUUCUCUUUGCCCCUCUCCCAGCGAUGCAUGGAGAUGUGUUUUCAGUGAACCCAGCGGGCACCCCCCACCUGGUCCGGGGUUACUGAUAAACCUUUCCCUGCUCUGCCUCAGCAAAAGUGAAGGGGGUGGAGAAAGGACGGUACCCUGGAGACAACGCUGGCUGUCAGUGGGGAUGUCGACAGAAGCACACAGCCCUUCGCUGUGCAUCAACCCGCCCCAUCUCCAUGCAGUCCUGUGUCACCAUCACCGAACAGGCAUGGUGGUGGCACAGCCGCAUGUCCAGUUAUUGAAGGGUUCAACAGUAAGACAUAGGGUGUCAAUAGAUUAUAGGUUUGUUGGGAGUUCAUCCUUGAGACCAUUACCUGUAGCUGUAUGAGAUACCCUCUUUGUGCAUUUCCAGCCCCCUAGACUGUGUACAGAAGUAUAUUUUAGAGUUCCCUCGAAGACUGCAUCCUGAUUAGUCAAACAGAUGUUUUAUUAGAAGGUAUUUCCUAUUUCCAUAUCAACUCAACUGGACUAAAAACCAAGAGGAAGUUACAUUGUUCCCUAUGCCAAAGUACUGCAUGCACCUUCAGAUGUGUUUACAGAGGACAGCCACUCCAUGCUGGGAAGUUCAGGAGGUGGUAAACAUGGAGACUUCAGGUUCACUUGACAUGCUGGUCUGCUCAGACCCUAACUUUUGCAUGUUGCAUACUUGCUUUCCUGCUCAGUGAUUUCAUUUUUAAUGGCUAUCACUUGUUCCUCUAGUUGUCUGAGUUGCUCUGCCUUGUCUUGUUUGGUUUGAUUCAGGUCCUGGAGCUUCUUCUCCAAAUCUGUAAGAGUAAAGUGACAUGUAAUGGUGAACAUAUUUGUUGUGUAAGUAAAAUCCAGGGUUCAACAGCAUUUUUUUCCAAUCAGUUUUAGAAGCGAUAAGCCCAUUUCCAAUGGGGAAUGUUAUAUGUGUAUUCAAAACUGAAGGGAAAAGUCUGGCUUCUGGAUUUUGAGAGAAACGUGACAGUCUUAGAGCAGUUCAUUUCUCAGCAUAUGCUUUUGUCCAUCAACUGUGAUGGGCCAGGACACAGAGCUCUUAAGCAUUUGGUUUAAGUGGAAAAACCCAGAGGAACAGUGUGUCCAUUGAGGAAUGUAAAGCCUGUUUGGGCAUUAAUUUGGGCAUAAUAGGUUUAGGUCCCCCCUCUCUUACAGAGAGAAUUCUACUGGUCCCUGUGAAGCUACACGAAUGAAAGCAUACAGAUAAUGAGUCAAAACCACAUUAUUCAUGGCUUAUGUUCCCAAUGCACUUAUCAUCUGGGCAUUUGGAAUGGCUGGGAUGCUCUUAAUGGUUCUUCUCAAGGUAUCUGCUCAAAAUGAGCAGAUCCUGAGAUCCUGUCCUGAAGAAUUUCCUUCCAGAAUAGCAUUUCUGUUUCAGCUCUGUUUAAAUGAUGCAGUAAUUUCAGAUGCUGAGUCUGGUAGGAUCCUAGGCCCAAGGAUGUUCUGUGGAAAAACCCAGACCUUCCCUACAGGCAGAAUUAGGUCCCCUGUGUGCAAUUACAGGAGACGUUGUGGAAGUUGGCUCGUGCCGCCUUCUUGACUGUCUGAACCUUCCCGUCUGGCUGUGUUGAAGGAGCCGUGCAGCUACUGCCGCAGGAGCCAUGAUCUCUCCUACCCUGUAGACCCUUGUCCCCCUGUGCCAUAGCUCAGCAGGUCCUAUGAAUAUGAGCUGAAAUCUCCAAGGAGGUGAGUGUGGGCGAAGAUACUAGACUGUGGAGUGAUGUGCCUGGGGCACGUAUCUGAGCUCUGCUCUGCUGCCCACUGUGGGACAUGGAUGUUUCUCUACUUGUUCAAACAAGCUAAUAUUUACACCUGUUUUUUCUGCUGUUGCUCAGAGAUAUGUCUAAAAGGGAACAAGGAUAGACUGAUGAAGAAAGGCUACCCUGCAGGUCUCUAUUAGCAUGAGUCAUCGCUCAGAUAAUGUGAGAACAGACAGAACAGGGGAAUGAUUUAAGGUCCGAACGCCCAAAGCAAGUACGUAAAUCAAAGCUCCCAGCUAAAUCUGCAGCUAAGUUUUCCAGAGUCCAUUUCUAAAAGCCUUAGAUGAGUUAAGCAAGUUUUGUACUUUUCCCAUUCUUAAAUUGCCAGAAUUAAAUCACUGCGAAUCCUUGUGUGGGCACUUUUUAAACUCUUCUUAUAGCAACCAAUUUAUAUCCAAAAAUGUACAUAAGCCAGAUCAAUUUAGCUACUUUUAAACUGCUCAGGUAGAUUCAAGCAGGGGUUUCCACCACUUGAAUUGUUUUAAAGCUGAUUUCAGAAGGACCUAGUCUGUUAGUGGCUGUAGGCAAAACUUCCAGUUUAAUACAUGACUUUCACAAUUUUCACUGCUUGCUAUGGAAGUGAGAACACCACCUGUUAUUCUUUUGAUUUUUUUUUCAGUCUCUUCAGCCAGUUUUUCUGCUUCUUCUUUCAGCUGUUUCACUUUCUCUAAUGUUACUUUUGAAGGUCCUUUGGCUUUUAGCUUCUCUUGAAGAAUGGUGUACUUUCUUUUGAUGUCAGCAAAUUCCUGUAACAAAAAUCCAUUACUUAGUUUAAGAACAUCUAGCAUCUUACAAUUAAUCUGGCAUACUGAAGGAAAAUUUUCUACUUUGUUGCAUAUCCUAUUUGAACCAACUUUCAAUCUCUCAUUCUCCGAAAUCUUAAACAAAAUCUGUAAUGAGCACACACUGAACAAAGCUUCACGACAGAAUUCAAUUAAAGCAAACUGCCAGUUGAGCAAUCCAAAGCAUAGAGGGGGUGAGGAUGUAAAGGAAACAUCAUUUAAGCUUUUCAAGGCUUAUGCUGUUUUUACUUCUUUUGAGACAGCUUUUCUGUAAAUUUUAUUUUUGCCAUGAGACUUAAUUCAAGUUUAAUAAAUUAGCUAUAACAUAACUUGUUUUACAUUUUUGGCAGUAAUAAUAUUUACUGGCUGACUCCACCCAUGCUGAUAUAGGUUGCUGUGGAGGCUGCAGUUUGGAUUUCUACUGGAUUUCUUAUAACCUGGAAGCUUAGUCAUGCUCUGCCUUUCGAGCUGCAGGAGCCUGGUUCUCCUCACGCAGCAUGCUAGCAAAUUUCUAGCUGCCUCAAUGCCUUCUCAAAAACCGGAGCUAUUAAAAAGCACCCAGCCAACCAAAAACUCCGUGCAACUCCUACAGCAGUUUUCUCUGAAGGAGAAUGGCAUUAAAUUAAUGGCCAGACUGCUUCCAUCACAUAUUUAAUAUCUGUUUUUGUGAUUUGUUCUGUUGUGUUUAUUGGUGCCCAUGGUGACUAUGAGUCUUAUACACAGUGCAAGGAAAAAUGUCAUAGAGUAGCCAGACAAAUGUCUGUGUUUUCUUUCAUUUAAGCUAACAGAAUUGUUAUUUGUUAGAUACCUUAAAAUAAAAAAGAAAUGAUUCUUAACCUGGGGGAUUUUACACUGGGUGGCAUAUUGAAAACUUUAACACUGUUUUGAGGAGAACAGGAUAACACAAUUACACUUCUGAAUCAAAAAAGUACCAUCAAACAUAUAAGGAAUAUUUAUUUUCCUUUAAUAUCUGACAGAACGGCUUACAUUAUUGAUAUUCUGAGCUUGCUUGUUUGCUGCUUCUGCCCCUGCUUUUGCAUUUGUAGCUUGAUUCCUAUUCUCCAUCAUUUUCAUCUGCAACGUGGCAAGCUCAUCUUCCAUCUCCGAUUGCUUUGCUGAGAAGUCAUUUAGUUCAUCACUUGUCUUGUUCACUUGCUUUUCAGCCUAAAACAGAACAAUUGGAAGCUGUGGUUUUUAUGCCAUGUCCAUCCAACUUGCAGAGCUUAGCAAUGAAGGAGAGAUUAAUGUCAGCUGAUAACUAGAGGAGCCCCUUAAAUGCUAUGGAAUUGAUGUCAUAAGUGAGCCACAUUCUGGUUUUGUUUAUUUUACAUUUACAUUGGGGAAACUUUGAGACCUUUUUCUAAAAUGUUGUAGUAAGUAAAUUAAAAGAUGUACAGCAAGAUACCUGUGAGAUCUGUGUUCUGAUUUCUUGUAUCUCUUCAUUUAACUUUAUCAAAGUGCCUUUGGAGUGUCCUUGGGAGUUCACAACAUUUUUUAGUAUAUUAUUAAUUUCAUUUACAGGUGGAAGAGCUUUUGCUGCUUUGCUAAAGAAAAAAAAAAAAAAACUGUGGCAACUGAAGAAAGAAGACAUUUCAAAUCCACCCACGCUCACAUGUAGAAAUGUUCCCUUGAGUCCAAACACCAUCCACGAGAAAUGGCGGUUCAGCAACUGGCAAAGCAAAACAUCAGUAAGGGAUCCUAUGUGUGAAUAUAUUAGCUAAUGUUUUAAUGGUGAGGUUUGAGGCUGCAGGCUACCUGCCUGCUGCUAUUAUGGAAAGCUCACAUAAGAGGUGAACAUAUUUUCUUCCUCCCCAGUUCUUGGUUCUUUAUCAUCCCUAUUUAAACCUCCCAGUGAACCAGAUACAAUGAUCCACCAGGUCCCACGUGAAAGUAAGUAGCUGCUUUGGCUUCUUGCACCCUGCUUGGUGAGUUCAGCAGCUGAGGAGCCAAGAGCUCACAGGACCUGUAACCUUUCAUAGCACGUCAGCUCCGUGCGGCUCGAGUGGUCAUGGCUCAUUACUGCUGGAGAGGCCCUUGCGGAAAUGGCAAUAUGAAAUCUGCUGUAAUCUGAACUUUCUUUCCAGUGUUAUUAGGAUACUUAACUGCCUGGGAUAUGGAGCAGCCUUACUGUGCAUGGUGCAAUUUCAGCUGGAUUUAUCACAUCAGGCUACGCUUUGCUUUAGGGAAAUGCACAAGUACUCCUUCUCUGCGGCCUGUGGAAGGAAGAGAUUCAUGGUUUCCCUGUGCAACAAGAACAACAAUGAUGUUUUUAUUUCUGAAACAUCUCAAAACACUUCCUGCACAUUCACCGGUCCUCACCCGUCUGCCUCCACACACCCCUGCCAGCAGCAGAGCUGGCCCAAGGCUUGUGAGGGCCAAAGGCAGUGGCCUGGCAGCCUCCCGCUGCCACCUCCAAGAGUGGCACCCGCCUUUUGCCGUUAUCUCUGCACGGCCUGGAGCCCAGGCAUGUGCCCCGAUUGCUCAUUUCUAAACCCGUUAGCUGUAAUGCUGUGGCAUGUGUAUUUUAGAAGGAGGCAGUGGAUGCCCAGGCACCCUGGAGGGACAGAACAAAGUCACAGCAGAAUUACAUUUCUGUUGGAAAAUGUGGUUUUGCCCAUAAUUGUAACAAACAUCAUCUCUGAUUGUUAAUGAGAACAAACUGUCUUUACUGUU